AUGGAACCACGUCACCCCGAGCUCGAGGAGUCCAGCACUGCCACCGUGGACGAGGUGCUAAAGCCGGUGGAGGCGCCAUCGGACGGUGAAGAAUGCCCCAUAUGCUUGGAUCAAGAGAGGGUAACGACCGCGUGGAAGGAGACAGUGUGUGGGCACAUCUUUCAUGAGCAAUGCGUGGAGAGGUGGCUCGAGACGAAGGGGAGUUGUCCCAUGUGUCGGCGUCAGCUUCAAGAACCAUGUGAUGCUGCAAAAUAUGGUAUUCGUCGUAGUCCCCUCAUCAUGAUGGCGGUGGAAGUAAUGGACAACUCCGACCUUCCAGAUCGAAGUAACUACUUUAGGCAAUAUAGGCAGGAGACGUUUGUAGGGUGA
Molecule: ribosomal RNA, 369 nt
Filed under: Triticum aestivum (bread wheat)
Lineage: Eukaryota; Viridiplantae; Streptophyta; Magnoliopsida; Poales; Poaceae
Description: partial small subunit ribosomal RNA
Source: RNAcentral